This 816-nucleotide ribosomal RNA is filed under the name Triticum aestivum (bread wheat). RNAcentral describes it as "partial small subunit ribosomal RNA". Lineage: Eukaryota; Viridiplantae; Streptophyta; Magnoliopsida; Poales; Poaceae. The record is from RNAcentral.
AUGGGCUGCUAUGAUGCCACCAAGGGAAAGCCUGAGGGCGAUCUUAAUCCAGCACAGCUGGAAGCUUUUGAGAAGAUCGAUACCCUCUUUAAAGGUGCUCUUCUGAGUGUUCUUGAUGACUCCAUUGUGGAUUCGUAUAUGUCGUUUGACAACGGCAAGGACAUGUGGGCUGCGCUCGAGGCCAAGUUUGGUGCCUCGGACGCUGGCAGUGAGUUGUACGUCAUGGAGCAAUUCUAUGACUACAAGAUGACUGAUGAGCGCCCUGUUGUACAGCAGGCUCAUGAGAUACAGUCGCUCGCAAAAGAACUUGAGUACUUCAAGUGUGUGUUGCCGGACAAAUUUGUUGCCGGAGGCAUCAUUGCCAAGCUUCCACCUUCGUGGAACAAUUUUGCUACUUCCCUGAAACACAAGAGACAGGAGUUUUCCGUUGCAGAUCUCAUUGGUAAUCUUGAUGUUGAAGAGAAGGCGAGAGCAAAGGACACACGUGCUCGAGUUGCUGAGGGAGGUUCUAGUGCCCACAUGGUACAGAAGAAGAACUCCCAGCCCAACAAGUUCAAAAACAAUAAGAACAAAACUCAGGGCAAAGGCAAGUUUGAUACAAAGAACAAGCCAUCACAUUCUACCAACUUCAAGAAGAAUUCUCAUAAGAAGGGGAAGGGACUUUGCCAUGUCUGCGGUGAUCCUAAUCACUGGGCUCCGAAGUGUCCUAACCGCUUUGAGGAGCGCGAACAUGAGAAGAGCGGCAAGUCUGCUAAUGUUGUCAUCGGUGAUAUUGAUAUGAAGGAAUCAGGGCAACAGGGACUUCACCUGUGCUGA